Molecule: non-coding RNA, 214 nt
Organism: Pelobates cultripes (western spadefoot toad)
Lineage: Eukaryota; Metazoa; Chordata; Amphibia; Anura; Pelobatidae
Source: the annotation of a GenBank genome assembly
AUUAUUCCUGAAAUCCUCAUUUUUCUUCGACCGUGCGAUGGCCUCUCAGCUACCCGAUUGUGAGGGCUGCAAGGAUGUUGUUCUUCUGAUCCUCACUUUCCUUCACAGAGAUCCCUUCAAGAUACUCUGGCUAUGACACGUAGGCAGGUGGUCAGGCUUUAUUAUGGCCGUCAAAACACCUACUUGAUGAUCUUUGUAGACUUUUAAUUAGAAU